UCCAAGAAGAAGAAGAUACACUGAUGUAAAAAAGCGGAUUACUACUAAUUACUCUAAUUUUGCAAAAAAAGAUGUUGCAAUUUAUCUAUCCAUUGUUUCUACUUUGUUAAUAAUGUACAUUAUAAUAAGUAAUGUAAAUAAAUGAUAAGUAAUAAUAAUACAUAUUUAUCGUAGAGUUUCCGCGAAAAUGUAAUGUUUUUCAACGCAAAAUACAAAAAGUUCGACUUGCUAAAUACCAUGUUUAAUGUUUUACAAAUAAGGGAUCAAAGGACGUAACUUCAUUUAAAAAUCAAAAUGGAAUUUUGUUCUUUAUGUAAAGUUAUAAGAAAAAAUCUUACAAGAAAUCAAUGUUAGAUAAAAACUUUAAAAACAGGGGAAACAUUUAUUUUAACUAUAAAACAGCAGAAACGGACCCGGAGUCGUGGGAUUCAAAAACCCAUUGAUCGCCUCAUUUAUCGCCUCGAUAGCCGCCGACAGCCCCCCCUUAAUGACACUCUCGACCACCAACAAAAUCACCCGUUUCAGAAGAAGUGUUGUCACAUCAGUCAACAAGUUGAGGAGCCAAUCAACGAGCGCGUUUCCAUUGAAAUGAAAAGUAAUUCGACUAAAAACUAAAAUUUACUCUAUUUAAAAUUCAUACCCCGAAUUCGUGAUCCAAAACUGAUCCAAAGACACCUCCAAAGUCUCAACAUUGAACCCAAUUUUUACUUGCACACCCAGCGAAUUGACUUUGCCCUCGAUUCCCCCCGUGGGUCCCAAACCCAUGAUUUUCGCACUGUAGUCAUAAGUGAACUGUAAGUCGUCAAAAGCGAUCGGAACUGUGAUUUCCAGAUAUUUGGUGUUGGAACUGUAAGAAGCGACAACAUCGCCCCCUCGAUGGAUGGUCGAUAAGUCGCUUAACCAGCCAUGGGUCAAGUCCAACUCCCCAUGUGAUGGGCAACGAACGUAGUUGAAGCCUGUAUGCAUGUCGGGCAUUUCAAUCGGGUCAAAACCACCAUGAAUCAUAAGAUUUUGAAUAUUUUGGAAAAUUUUGUCAGCGUAGUCGUUCAAAAUCGCUUCGGUGCCACCAAGUCUAUAAUUUUUGUCCAAUCUCACUUUCAAUCAUGAAUUUUAACACUUACCGUUUCAUUUCUUCAACUAUUUUGUUUAAAAUUUUAUCGUUUACGAAAUUAAAAUUGUAUUUAGCCGGAAUUUUGGUAAACUCAACACUUUCAAUGACCACAUCAAAAUCUUGAUUUUUGAUGUGGUAACCCCAAACGAGGGUCAACAAACAAGUUGCAACAACUAAUUUUCGCAUUUUUCUCAUUAACUGUUUGUUUGUUGGCGACUUUUAUACACGAGAAGCGAUAAAAUGAUUAGAUAUUUUCGAAAUUUGCGUCUUUUGGAUAUAUCGAGCGUCAGAAGUGUUAUCACACCUGUGAUUUUAUUAAAAAAAAACCUUAUCUAACUAAAAAUUUGUUUUUCACGAAUAGCAUAAAAUAUUUUUUAAUCUUUCAUUUAGAAUUUUUUUAACUAUGUUUUAUAAAAUUUGAAGGUUUCUUGUGAAUUCAAAAAACUGUAAUUUUGGGAGAAAUUUCAGGCAAUGAAGCACAUUUAAAAGAAUUGCAUAAAACUAAGGUGUAA
Molecule: long non-coding RNA, 1623 nt
Organism: Tribolium madens (black flour beetle)
Lineage: Eukaryota; Metazoa; Arthropoda; Insecta; Coleoptera; Tenebrionidae
Exons: 3
Source: RefSeq, a predicted model, not a curated record